AACUGCGAAUGGAUCAUUAAAUCAGUUAUCGUUUAUUUGAUAGUACCUUACUACUUGGAUAACCGUGGUAAUUCUAGAGCUAAUACAUGCUAAAAACCCCGACUUCGGGAGGGGUGUAUUUAUUAGAUAAAAAACCAAUGCCCUUCGGGGCUCUUUGGUGAUUCAUGAUAACUUAACGGAUCGCAUGGCCUUGCGCCGGCGACGGUUCAUUCAAAUUUCUGCCCUAUCAACUUUCGAUGGUAAGGUAUUGGCUUACCAUGGUUUCAACGGGUAACGGGGAAUUAGGGUUCGAUUCCGGAGAGGGAGCCUGAGAAACGGCUACCACAUCCAAGGAAGGCAGCAGGCGCGCAAAUUACCCAAUCCCGACACGGGGAGGUAGUGACAAUAAAUACUGAUACAGGGCUCUUUUGGGUCUUGUAAUCGGAAUGAGUACAAUUUAAACCCCUUAACGAGGAACAAUUGGAGGGCAAGUCUGGUGCCAGCAGCCGCGGUAAUUCCAGCUCCAAUAGCGUAUAUUAAAGUUGUUGCAGUUAAAAAGCUCGUAGUUGAACCUUGGGCCUGGCUGGCCGGUCCGCCUCACCGCGUGUACUGGUCCGGCCGGGCCUUUCCUUCUGGAGAGCCGCAUGCCCUUCACUGGGUGUGUCGGGGAACCAGGACUUUUACUUUGAAAAAAUUAGAGUGUUCAAAGCAGGCCUUUGCUCGAAUACGUUAGCAUGGAAUAAUAGAAUAGGACGUGCGGUCCUAUUUUGUUGGUUUCUAGGACCGCCGUAAUGAUUAAUAGGGAUAGUCGGGGGCAUCAGUAUUCAAUUGUCAGAGGUGAAAUUCUUGGAUUUAUUGAAGACUAACUACUGCGAAAGCAUUUGCCAAGGAUGUUUUCAUUAAUCAGUGAACGAAAGUUAGGGGAUCGAAGACGAUCAGAUACCGUCGUAGUCUUAACCGUAAACUAUGCCGACUAGGGAUCGGGCGAUGUUUCUAUCUUGACUCGCUCGGCACCUUACGAGAAAUCAAAG
RNAcentral lists this ribosomal RNA (1010 nucleotides) under Striatiguttula phoenicis. Its description in RNAcentral is "SSU rRNA". It matches the Rfam family "Eukaryotic small subunit ribosomal RNA", at positions 85 to 1103 of the family's 1831-position model. Lineage: Eukaryota; Fungi; Ascomycota; Dothideomycetes; Pleosporales. The record is from RNAcentral.